This 556-nucleotide long non-coding RNA is filed under the name Mustela putorius furo (domestic ferret). Its description in RNAcentral is "lncRNA (ENSMPUG00000028519.1)". The record is from RNAcentral. Lineage: Eukaryota; Metazoa; Chordata; Mammalia; Carnivora; Mustelidae.
GUCACAGGCCUAUUCCAGGGCUAUAGAGAACCUAAACGGGGGAGGAAGGUGGGGUUUUCCCACGAAGGUGGGUGGGGGGCGUUUUGGGCAGAGGAGAUGGUAAGCGCCCCCUGCAGCUCCCAAACACAAGCCCUCCACUCCAGGUUGUGACAGCCUUGACCCAUGGAAUCAUGUGGCUUCCACUUGGUCCUCUCUGCACUACUCACCUUCCAACCUUCCAGAGACUCCCUCUGGGGACGCCACCACAUUGUGAGAAACUCAACCCACAGAGAGAGACCACACGUAGGUACUAUGGCCUGUCCUUCAGCCAUCCGGCUCGGGCACCAGAUGGGUGUGCAGAAACCAACUUGAAAGCCCCAGACAUCAUGAAGAAGUCAACAGCCACCCCCACAGUGCCUGAAUCCCUGACCCACAGAAUCGACAGAGAGAGAGAGCGCACAGGCAGACAGAGUGGAAGGCAGAGGCAGAAGGAGAAGCAGGCUCCCUGCGGAGCAAGGAGCCUGAUGUGGGACUCGAUCCCAGUAUGCUGGGAUCAUGACCUGAGCUGAAGGCAGCC